GCUAUGUGAUCGUAACCUACACACGUGUAAAAUUGAAUUCGAUGAAUUCAGUUAUCUAGUCUUUUAAACUGACUUGAAGGAUUUACUUUACUUUGUUUUGGUAAUUCUUCUUCUAUAAAGUUUGAUUUUCAUCAUUUUUAGUUUUGAUUGGCUUCCAAGAAAUUUUUGAGUUGUCGAGCGAGCAUGGCGAAAUUCUCUUCAGCAUCACUAUCUUCAUCAUCCUUGUCCACUUCGUCAAUCCGGAAGGCAACAAUACCAGGUCUUUCCUCUUUCUUUGUGUUGAAGUUUAGCUCAUAUGUCAUCAACACGCCAUCGACUCUUCAAAUUUGAUAAACUUUCAUGUACUUGUUUUCCUCAAUGGAAGUUACUUUGAGUGAAUCUUCUAGGAAGAGACCACAAGAUUAUUAUUGAUAAUUUUGUCUCGGAGCAUUUUUUCCCCCAGAGCUUGGGAUAUGGCAUAGCAAAGUAUAGAGGUCCUCGCAGAAUUUGUCUAUUUCAUUCUCAGAUUCUCAAAUUUAGUUGCAAACAUCUAGAGCUUUGACAUCGAGGUUCAUUCGUGAGCAAUGUCAAGUGUAUCCCAAGCUUUGUUCACAAUUGUUGCAAAUAGAUAUCAAACAUAAUUGAUUGGAGACAAUAAAAGAUGAAUUUUGUAUUUAAAGCUUUAACAUUUAGAUUAGAGUCAUUCGACUAGAUGGAUGUCCAAAAUUUACAUUUCCUUUUUUCUUUCAACUCCAUUUUCUCUUCUAGUAGGUUGUUUUUAUUCAUUAACAAUAGUAUUCCAAACUUUUAUAUACAAAGGAAUAUACACUUUCAUACAAUUUUUUCAAUAAUUAUUGAAAAACUCAAAUUACCGAUUAAGAUAGACCUUACAUGCGAAAUUAUACAAUUAAAAGCAAUAAAUCAUUUUUUAAUUGCUUAUAGAUGGUUAAUCAAAUGAUUUAAUUUAUCCUAUGGUUUGAAUGCCGCAAAAAAUAAAUAUGAAAGCAAUAAAGAACACCAACGUUAUUGACGGAGAAACCUAACUAGAUAAAAACUUUGAGAUCAAGCUAGUAAUCUCCAUUAGACAACAUGAACUUAAAAUCCGAUCUAGCCUAGCAAAUUUCACUAGACUCACUGGUCUAAUUCUUGC
This 1129-nucleotide long non-coding RNA is filed under the name Olea europaea (common olive). RNAcentral's name for it is "long non-coding RNA (OEUR_LNC010433)". Lineage: Eukaryota; Viridiplantae; Streptophyta; Magnoliopsida; Lamiales; Oleaceae. The record is from RNAcentral.